RNAcentral lists this long non-coding RNA (1493 nucleotides) under Citrus sinensis (sweet orange). RNAcentral's name for it is "long non-coding RNA (CSIN_LNC000098)". Lineage: Eukaryota; Viridiplantae; Streptophyta; Magnoliopsida; Sapindales; Rutaceae. The record is from RNAcentral.
GAUUACUUGAGUUCGACGGCGCCAAUGAUGGCGCAUUACCAGGUGACGAUGGAACCGCCGGCGGUGACGUGGAAGGGGAGGUUCCCGGCGGGGGAGAUACUCCUGUUGGAGCAUUAGCCGCAGGUGGCUGCGAUGACGGUGACGUGGAGGGGGAAGUUCCCGGAGCCGGUGACAGCCCAGUUGGAGCAUUAGCCGCAGGUGGUUGCGAUGACGGUGACGUGGAGGGGGAAGUUCCCGGAGCCGGUGACAGCCCAGUUGGAGCAUUAGCCGCAGGUGAUUGGGAUGAUGAUGGUGACGUAGAAGGUGAAGUUGCCGGCACCGGAGAGUACCCUUUUGGAGGAUAAGGCGAAGGCGCAUGAGAUGAUGGUGACGUGGAAGGUGAAGUCGCCGGCACUGGAGAGUAUCCUUUUGGAGGAUAAGGCGAAGACGUGGAAGGUGAAGUUGCCGGCGUCGGAGAGGACCCUUUAGGAGGAUUAGCCGAAGGUGCAUGAGAUGUUGGUGAGGUGGAGGGGGAAGUCGCCGGCGGCUGUGUGGCCGGAGAAGGAGACUUAGGAGACGGGGCAUGCGGUGGAGGUUUCGUGGUGGGGGGUCCAGUUGAGGGAGGGGGAGGCCUUUCAUGCAAAACGACGACGAUUAAUUUCUGUCCCUUUUGGCAAUGAUCAUGGUUUCCACUUAUGAAAUAGAAAGGACCCGAACGAUCAAGCUUGAACUCUGAGUCACCCGAAUCCAGUUUCAGCAAAGGCUUCUUCGUGUUGCAGCUGUCGUAAUCAUCUUUGUUCACUAACAACACCGAGUCUGAUCCUUUCUUGUACUUGAAAACUGCCAUAAAUUAAAAAAAAAAAAAAAAUCGAAAUCAGCAUUCUUUCAUUAGAUCGUCACCCCCAAACACAGGUUAAGCAGUGAUAUUCAAACAGAAAAUCCUCAAAGAACGCUGACAGAAACAGAGUAAACCUUAAGACUUACAGAGGGUAUCAUUGACGAGGAACCUGUUUCUCCCAGACCAUUUGUUGUAAUUUUCUCCAGGGUUUGUAACCCAGCCGUGUUUGCCACCCACGUUGAAUUUGAGUGCGUGAGAGGAAGAGAUGAAAAAUGCAAAGAGAGCCAAGGAAAGGCAAAGAGAUUUCUGAAACUCCAUUGAACAGAAAUGUGCUCUAGACUUGUGUGUUUUCUGUUUUUAUAUAGCGAUGAAAGUGAUAUAGAUAUGUACGAUGACCCAGAAGCUUCACAGAAAAUCUGCCAAUUGGAAGUUUUUAUUGGUAUUGCUUUUUUACUUGGGAAGUAAAAGAUUUUGGAGAUUUGAUUGGAGAAGGAAAAUCAGAGAUAAGAAGGAAAGUGAAGAUAGAGGCAGUGGCGUUGAUAUAUAAAGAGAGAUUCAGAUUACCGUUUGAAUAGUAAUAGCAAUCAAUCAAUGAAUCCCAAAACUUUAUUAGAGUCGAGCCAGGUGAAGUUAUUGUUUGUCUGCUUAUUAGUCUACGCCUAGUAUUUGGUCUUCU